UCUAUGAUUCUAUGCUUCUAUGCUUCUAUGUUUCUCAGAACCAUAGAAACAUAGAAACAUAGAAGCAUAGAAUCAUAGAAGC
This 82-nucleotide microRNA precursor is filed under the name Paramuricea clavata. The record is from RNAcentral. Lineage: Eukaryota; Metazoa; Cnidaria; Anthozoa; Malacalcyonacea; Plexauridae.